Molecule: transfer RNA, 68 nt
Filed under: Ombrastacoides huonensis
Lineage: Eukaryota; Metazoa; Arthropoda; Malacostraca; Decapoda; Parastacidae
Description: tRNA-Trp
Source: RNAcentral
AAGAUUUUAAGUUAUUCAAACUGACACCCUUCAAAGCUGUUAAAAAAAGUUCAGCCUUUUAAAUCUUA